RNAcentral lists this ribosomal RNA (445 nucleotides) under uncultured bacterium. RNAcentral describes it as "bacterial SSU rRNA". It matches the Rfam family "Bacterial small subunit ribosomal RNA", at positions 29 to 519 of the family's 1533-position model. The record is from RNAcentral.
AACGAACGCUGGCGGCAGGCCUAACACAUGCAAGUCGAACGAUGUAGCAAUACAUAGUGGCGCACGGGUGAGUAACGCGUGGGAAUGUACUGUUUAGUGGGGGAUAACUUCGGGAAACUGAAGCUAAUACCGCAUACGCCCGAGAGGGGAAAGAUUUAUCGCUAAACAAUCAGCCCGCGUGAGAUUAGGUAGUUGGUGGGGUAAUGGCCUACCAAGCCUACGAUCUCUAGCUGGUCUGAGAGGAUGAUCAGCCACACUGGAACUGAGACACGGUCCAGACUCCUACGGGAGGCAGCAGUGGGGAAUAUUGGGCAAUGGACGAAAGUCUGACCCAGCCAUGCCGCGUGAGUGAUGAAGGCUUUAGGGUUGUAAAGCUCUUUCGCCGAUGAAGAUAAUGACGGUAGUCGGAGAAGAAGCCCCGGCUAACUUCGUGCCAGCAGCCGCG